CUUGCAAUACAACAAUGAUGUUUUUUAUGAUAGUAAAUAAGUUUCAUGGUAGUUAAGUUUCAUGGUGAUAUUUGUUUUUUAACCUAUCACCUGUAAUCUCUAACCUUUCCAUCAAAUGUAUUUUGUGUUCUGUGUGGAAAUAUUUUGAUAUCGAGAAUGGCAAAUGAAGUAGGGACUUUUAUUGUGACGAGUAUCAUCCAAUAACUCGUCUGUGACAUCUACCAUCUUUCUUUUAGCUGACUACAACUGUCGAGAUUUUGGAUUCCUUUUUGAGCAAGUUAAUUGAAGAUGCCGCGUCCAAGCAAGCGGUCCAGGGCGGCCAAGAAGAGAGAGGCUGACUUGAGGUCCACUGAGGUGCCGAGCAAGAGGUCCCCGGUGGCGCAGGUUGACUUGGUCUCCUGUGACGAGGUUGGGCGUCCUCGUAAAAAAGCCCACACACAGUCUUCGGACGCUAUACAGUCUUCGGACUGCCAGUUACAAUGCCAGUUACAAUGCCAGUUACAGUCUUCGGACGCAAUACAAGCAAACUCUACCAACUCUCAAACAAACUCUACCAACUCUCUGAAUAUGUGCCAUGACUCUGUUGUAAACUCAUUGUCAAGUAAUGUGAAAGAAAAUAAUGCUACUGAUUGUUGUUCUUUGAAUGAAUCUGUUGACUUCCCAGAGAGAUCUGUGCUGAUGGGCUCUUUUCAUCAAGGCGAUUCACGGUUUGGAAAUGUGCGCAACAAGCAGUGUGGUGCCAUCAGCCUGACUGCUGUUUUGAAGUCCAAGAUGAAGAACGUGUGGCGUUGGGAAACUCGAGAUCUUGAUGAUGUUUUGAUUAAGGGAACUGUUCUUUACAGGUCAAUGAGUGCACAGGGUAAAAUAAGAGACCAUGGAAGGGGUUACAUUGCUGUGUCUGAAUUACCAAGGCAAUAUGAAGUGUGGAAUUGUGAUUUUGUAAUAAACUUUGCCGAGUCUUACACUG
Molecule: long non-coding RNA, 967 nt
Organism: Alosa sapidissima (American shad)
Lineage: Eukaryota; Metazoa; Chordata; Actinopteri; Clupeiformes; Clupeidae
Exons: 4
Source: RefSeq, a predicted model, not a curated record